Molecule: ribosomal RNA, 707 nt
Filed under: uncultured Burkholderia sp.
Lineage: Bacteria; Pseudomonadati; Pseudomonadota; Betaproteobacteria; Burkholderiales; Burkholderiaceae
Description: bacterial SSU rRNA
Rfam family: Bacterial small subunit ribosomal RNA
Source: RNAcentral
GGCAGCACGGGAGCAAUCCUGGUGGCGAGUGGCGAACGGGUGAGUAAUACAUCGGAACGUGUCCUGUAGUGGGGGAUAGCCCGGCGAAAGCCGGAUUAAUACCGCAUACGCUCUACGGAGGAAAGGGGGGGAUCUCAGGACCUCUCGUUAUAGGGGCGGCCGAUGGCAGAUUAGCUAGUUGGUGGGGUAAAGGCCUACCAAGGCGACGAUCUGUAGCUGGUCUGAGAGGACGACCAGCCACACUGGGACUGAGACACGGCCCAGACUCCUACGGGAGGCAGCAGUGGGGAAUUUUGGACAAUGGGCGCAAGCCUGAUCCAGCAAUGCCGCGUGUGUGAAGAAGGCCUUCGGGUUGUAAAGCACUUUUGUCCGGAAAGAAAUCCUUUGAGCUAAUACCUCGGGGGGAUGACGGUACCGGAAGAAUAAGCACCGGCUAACUACGUGCCAGCAGCCGCGGUAAUACGUAGGGUGCAAGCGUUAAUCGGAAUUACUGGGCGUAAAGCGUGCGCAGGCGGUUCGCUAAGACAGAUGUGAAAUCCCCGGGCUUAACCUGGGAACUGCAUUUGUGACUGGCGGGCUAGAGUAUGGCAGAGGGGGGUAGAAUUCCACGUGUAGCAGUGAAAUGCGUAGAGAUGUGGAGGAAUACCGAUGGCGAAGGCAGCCCCCUGGGCCAAUACUGACGCUCAUGCACGAAAGCGUGGGGAGCA